Molecule: ribosomal RNA, 445 nt
Filed under: uncultured bacterium
Lineage: Bacteria
Description: bacterial SSU rRNA
Rfam family: Bacterial small subunit ribosomal RNA
Source: RNAcentral
AGCGAACGCUGGCGGCAGGCCUAAACAUGCAAGUCGAACGCCGUAGCAAUACGGAGUGGCAGACGGGUGAGUAACGCGUGGGAACGUACCCUUUGGUUCGGAACAACACAGGGAAACUUGUGCUAAUACCGGAUAAGCCCUUACGGGGAAAGAUUUAUCGCCAAAGGAUCGGCCCGCGUCUGAUUAGCUUGUUGGUGAGGUAACGGCUCACCAAGGCUACGAUCAGUAGCUGGUCUGAGAGGAUGAUCAGCCACACUGGGACUGAGACACGGCCCAGACUCCUACGGGAGGCAGCAGUUAGGAAUCUUGGACAAUGGGCGCAAGCCUGAUCCAGCCAUGCCGCGUGAGUGAUGAAGGCCUUAGGGUUGUAAAGCUCUUUCAGGCGGGGAAGAUAAUGACGGUACCCGCAGAAGAACGCCCCGGCUAACUUCGUGCCAGCAGCCGC